Molecule: ribosomal RNA, 253 nt
Filed under: uncultured bacterium
Lineage: Bacteria
Description: partial 16S ribosomal RNA
Rfam family: Bacterial small subunit ribosomal RNA
Source: RNAcentral
UACAGAGGUCCCAAGCGUUGUUCGGAUUCACUGGGCGUAAAGGGUGCGUAGGUGGCCGGGUAAGUCUGAUGUGAAAUCUCGUGGCUCAACCACGAAACUGCAUUGGAUACUAUCCGGCUAGAGGAUCGGAGGGGGGACUGGAAUUCUCGGUGUAGCAGUGAAAUGCGUAGAUAUCGAGAGGAACACCAGUGGCGAAGGCGAGUCCCUGGACGACUCCUGACACUGAGGCACGAAAGCUAGGGGAGCAAACAGG